Pelobates cultripes (western spadefoot toad) is the source of this 276-nucleotide non-coding RNA. The record is from the annotation of a GenBank genome assembly. Lineage: Eukaryota; Metazoa; Chordata; Amphibia; Anura; Pelobatidae.
AGAUAGGACACGUGUAUUUAGGCUAGAAGAAAGGAGAUUUCAUCUAAGGCAAAGAAAAUUUUUUUUUACAGUAAGAGCAAUAAGGAUAUGGAAUUCUCUGCCUGAAGAGGUGGUUUUGUCAGAGUCUAUACAGAUGUUUAAACUGCAACUGGAUAAAUACUUGCAAAAACAUAACAUACAGGGAUAUAAUUUCUAAUUAGCGGGGUAAUAGCUGCUUGAUCCAAGGAGACAUCUGACUGCUAUUUUGGGGUCAAGAAGGAAUUUUUUCCUAGUUUG